RNAcentral lists this ribosomal RNA (467 nucleotides) under uncultured bacterium. Its description in RNAcentral is "partial 16S ribosomal RNA". It matches the Rfam family "Bacterial small subunit ribosomal RNA", at positions 28 to 506 of the family's 1533-position model. The record is from RNAcentral.
GACGAACGCUGGCGGCGUGCUUAACACAUGCAAGUCGAACGGAAAGGCCCUGCUUUUGUGGGGUGCUCGAGUGGCGAACGGGUGAGUAACACGUGAGUAACCUGCCCUUGACUUUGGGAUAACUUCAGGAAACUGGGGCUAAUACCGGAUAGGAGCUCCUGCUGCAUGGUGGGGGUUGGAAAGUUUCGGCGGUUGGGGAUGGACUCGCGGCUUAUCAGCUUGUUGGUGGGGUAGUGGCUUACCAAGGCUUUGACGGGUAGCCGGCCUGAGAGGGUGACCGGCCACAUUGGGACGGAGAUGCGGCCCAGACUCCUACGGGAGGCAGCAGUGGGGAAUAUUGCACAAUGGGCGGAAGCCUGAUGCAGCAACGCCGCGUGCGGGAUGACGGCCUUCGGGUUGUAAACCGCUUUCGCCUGUGACGAAGCGUGAGUGACGGUAAUGGGUAAAGAAGCACCGGCUAACUACGU